Molecule: ribosomal RNA, 490 nt
Filed under: uncultured bacterium
Lineage: Bacteria
Description: partial 16S ribosomal RNA
Rfam family: Bacterial small subunit ribosomal RNA
Source: RNAcentral
AUUGAACGCUGGCGGCAGGCCUAACACAUGCAAGUCGAACGGUAACAGGAAGAAUCUUGCUUCUUUGCUGACGAGUGGCGGACGGGUGAGUAAUGUCUGGGAAACUGCCUGAUGGAGGGGGAUAACUACUGGAAACGGUAUCUAAUACCGCAUAACGUCGCAAGACCAAAAAGGGGGACCUUCGGGCCUCUUGCCAUCGGAUGUGCCCAGAUGGGAUUAGCUAGUAGGUGGGGUAACGGCUCACCUAGGCGACGAUCCCUAGCUGGUCUGAGAGGAUGACCAGCCACACUGGAACUGAGACACGGUCCAGACUCCUACGGGAGGCAGCAGUGGGGAAUAUUGCACAAUGGGCGAAAGCCUGAUGCAGCCAUGCCGCGUGUAUGAAGAAGGCCUUCGGGUUGUAAAGUACCUUCAGCGGGGAGGAAGGGAGUAAAGUUAAUACCUUUGCUCAUUGACGUUACCCGCAGAAGAAGCACCGGCUAACUCCGUG